Long non-coding RNA from Zootermopsis nevadensis, 549 nucleotides. RefSeq lists it as uncharacterized. The record is from RefSeq and is a predicted model, not a curated record. NCBI's taxonomy places the organism in Eukaryota, Metazoa, Arthropoda, Insecta, Blattodea, Termopsidae.
CAUGCUUCUAAGUAUAAAUGUCAGGAUGGUUCCUCCUGCCAGCUAUUGACCACCGGCAGAGUUAACAACCAGCAACUGCCAUCACCAUGAAGUUCAUCGCAGGAGUUAUUUUGUUGGCUGUCCUGGUGUCCAUGGCCUCAGGAGCCGCAUUUCCCGGCCCCCGCCCAUUUCCAGCGGGAUCUGUCCCUAAGGAAACCCUAGCAGGCUCCGAGACUGUGUACUACCCUUACGCCUACUACCCAGCUUACUACCCUGUCGCAUAUUGGGGAUGAAAACGUCAAAUCACUGCCAACAAUUAACAUGAUGACGACUUCAAGCUAGAUUAUGGGCAACAUUCGUCUCCAUUCUUGUCUGAACCAGCGAUGAAUUAGCUUAUUUUCUUCCAAAAAUUCAUGACUUCAACUGGAAUAUAUCCAACAAAGCAAUGUGUUCAGUAGAUGAUGACAUUAAAUGAUUUAUAUUUUUAUAAGUAUUACUACUUUACAAUGUAUGCAAAUUGAAACAUUUCUUUUGAAAUAAAAUGCUUAUAGCAGCAGUAUUAACAAUUAA